GCCAGACUCCUACGGGAGGCAGCAGUGGGGAAUAUUGCACAAUGGGGGAAACCCUGAUGCAGCGACGCCGCGUGAGUGAAGAAGUAUUUCGGUAUGUAAAGCUCUAUCAGCAGGAAAGAAAAUGACGGUACCUGACUAAGAAGCCCCGGCUAACUACGUGCCAGCAGCCGCGGUAAUACGUAGGGGGCAAGCGUUAUCCGGAUUUACUGGGUGUAAAGGGAGCGCAGGCGGCCUUGCAAGUCUGAUGUGAAAGGCCGGGGCCCAACCCCGGGACUGCAUUGGAAACUGUGCGGCUUGAGUGCGGGAGGGGCAGGCGGAAUUCCUAGUGUAGCGGUGAAAUGCGUAGAUAUUAGGAGGAACACCGGCGGCGAAGGCGGCCUGCUGGACCGUAACUGACGUUGAGGCUCGAAAGCGUGGGGAGCAAACAGGAUUAGAUACCCGGGUA
This 445-nucleotide ribosomal RNA is filed under the name uncultured bacterium. Its description in RNAcentral is "partial 16S ribosomal RNA". It matches the Rfam family "Bacterial small subunit ribosomal RNA", at positions 330 to 792 of the family's 1533-position model. The record is from RNAcentral.